AAAGCUAACCGGUCUGUCGCUAUCUUUUUUGAUAGAGGAAAGUCCGGGCAACGCAGAGCAUUCCACUUCCUAACAGAAAGUUGCUGGUAACGGCAAAGUAGUGUAGAAGAAAACAACCGCCCUUUACAGGGUAAGGGUGAGAAGGUAAGGUAAGAGCUUACCAGGUGCGUGGCGACACGUAUGCUGUACACCUUGGAAGUUGCAAGAUCGUGUAAACCGGCGUCAGAGGGCUGCUCGCUCAAGCCGGAGGGUAGAUCGCUAGAACCUGUCGGCAACGGCAGGUCGAGAUUAAUGACAGACAGGAUUAUUCCUACAGAACCCGGCUUAUAGGUUAGCUUUUAUU
Molecule: RNase P RNA, 343 nt
Filed under: Bacteroidaceae bacterium
Lineage: Bacteria; Pseudomonadati; Bacteroidota; Bacteroidia; Bacteroidales; Bacteroidaceae
Description: RNase P RNA component class A
Rfam family: Bacterial RNase P class A
About the family: Ribonuclease P (RNase P) is a ubiquitous endoribonuclease, found in archaea, bacteria and eukarya as well as chloroplasts and mitochondria. Its best characterised activity is the generation of mature 5'-ends of tRNAs by cleaving the 5'-leader elements of precursor-tRNAs. Cellular RNase Ps are ribonucleoproteins.
Source: RNAcentral